UUUAUAUGAAGGUCUGUUACAGACGUCUCCAAGAAUUUGUUCACCUGAUUCGAAUAUAGAUGAAGAUAUUAAGUUUACGGACAAGAAUUUAAGGAGCUAACGGAUCUAACCACAAUAUUCCAAUGGAUUGUAGAGAUAAAUUAACAAAGUGGAAGAAGUAAGUUUAUUGUUAUUAUCUUCGACAGAGAGUUAGCAUUGAAUGGUGGGCAAAGUUCAACAUUGAAUUACAAUGAUAAGUAAGCUAACUUCAGGAUACAGAGGACACUAGGACAAUAUCUAUGUCUGAAGAACUUGGACGGGAUUGGAGAGUUUCCGCUAGCGAAAUAUAUUUCAGACCUUUCUGAACAAUCUCCCGAUACGGACAAUGUUUUUUGAAUAGACAUAUUGGCAGGAAUGAUAGAGCGAUAGGUUUGGAGAUAAGAACUCAAAAUUCAUGUUCUUAUUUUUUUUCGAAAUCAAUUGGGCCGAGAAAAGAAAGCCGAUUUUCUGUUAUAAAAAUGCCUGUUGAGUCCACUAAUAUAUUAUUUGGAUAAUAUAUCUCGAUUCAAGAA
This is a long non-coding RNA of Harmonia axyridis, 551 nucleotides long. RefSeq lists it as uncharacterized. The record is from RefSeq and is a predicted model, not a curated record. Lineage: Eukaryota; Metazoa; Arthropoda; Insecta; Coleoptera; Coccinellidae. The transcript has 2 exons.